This 465-nucleotide ribosomal RNA is filed under the name uncultured bacterium. RNAcentral's name for it is "partial 16S ribosomal RNA". It matches the Rfam family "Bacterial small subunit ribosomal RNA", at positions 338 to 795 of the family's 1533-position model. The record is from RNAcentral.
CCUACGGGUGGCAGCAGUAGGGAAUCUUCCACAAUGGGCGCAAGCCUGAUGGAGCAACACCGCGUGAGUGAAGAAGGGUUUCGGCUCGUAAAGCUCUGUUGUUGGAGAAGAACGUUCGUGAGAGUAACUGUUCACGCAGUGACGGUAUCCAACCAGAAAGUCACGGCUAACUACGUGCCAGCAGCCGCGGUAAUACGUAGGUGGCAAGCGUUAUCCGGAUUUAUUGGGCGUAAAGCGAGCGCAGGCGGUUGCUUAGGUCUGAUGUGAAAGCCUUCGGCUUAACCGAAGAAGUGCAUCGGAAACCGGGCGACUUGAGUGCAGAAGAGGACAGUGGAACUCCAUGUGUAGCGGUGGAAUGCGUAGAUAUAUGGAAGAACACCAGUGGCGAAGGCAGCUUACUAAACUGCCACUGACAUUGAUGCUCGAAAGUGUGGGUAUCAAACAGGAUUAGAUACCCUAGUAGUC